ACCCUUGUUGCGUGUGUCAGAAUUUCCUUCCUCUUUAAAGGCUGAAAAUAGUUCCCUGCAUGGAUAUACCGUGGUGUGGGGCCCUGUUCAAGGCCGCACUAAGCAUGGGUCUCAUUGGAGUGCUCAAGGCCAAGAUGCUUUUAUGCAGGCGCAAGGUCGCUGCAAGCCUUACACUGCAAAGACGUGCCCUUCUGUAGCCAAAAUAUGAUUGGUGUAACUAUUGGCACGAAGCCUUCUUUGUCCAAGGAGCACUAUACAGGCUACUGACCAGCUGGUCGGAAGAGGAGUGUGAAGGAGACUAAGCUGGAGAGACGGAGCUGAGAGCGGGCACCGCCGACGGGAGGCUAAGAGCUCACAGGGAGCUCAGCUGUAGCUGCCAUGUGGACCGGCCAGUGUGCUGCGCGGGGAGACGGAGAAGCUGCUGAGCCGGAGAGCUCAGGGGCCGCGACCGCGUGAGGCGACCAUAACUCCAAUCCAACCUCUAUCCACUCGUUCCCGAUCAACAAUCCUCGCAAAAACUGACUGUCAGAGGAAGAUGACGGAAAUUACGGUACCCAAAAAGGACCUCAAGAGUAGACGAUACUGAAAUGUGUGGUUUGGGGUGCAGAGUUUUCCUUGCUCUACAAAGUUUGAAGAAUAAACUUGUGGAUUAACAGA
Eptesicus fuscus (big brown bat) is the source of this 657-nucleotide long non-coding RNA. RefSeq lists it as uncharacterized. The record is from RefSeq and is a predicted model, not a curated record. NCBI's taxonomy places the organism in Eukaryota, Metazoa, Chordata, Mammalia, Chiroptera, Vespertilionidae. The transcript is spliced from 2 exons.